RNAcentral lists this ribosomal RNA (460 nucleotides) under uncultured bacterium. RNAcentral's name for it is "partial 16S ribosomal RNA". It matches the Rfam family "Bacterial small subunit ribosomal RNA", at positions 338 to 795 of the family's 1533-position model. The record is from RNAcentral.
CCUACGGGGGGCUGCAGUGAGGAAUAUUGGUCAAUGGACGAGAGUCUGAACCAGCCAAGUAGCGUGAAGGAUGACUGCCCUAUGGGUUGUAAACUUCUUUUAUAUGGGAAUAAAAUGUUCCACGUGUGGGAUUUUGUAUGUACCAUAUGAAUAAGGAUCGGCUAACUCCGUGCCAGCAGCCGCGGUAAUACGGAGGAUCCGAGCGUUAUCCGGAUUUAUUGGGUUUAAAGGGAGCGUAGGUGGAUUGUUAAGUCAGUUGUGAAAGUUUGCGGCUCAACCGUAAAAUUGCAGUUGAAACUGGCAGUCUUGAGUACAGUAGAGGUGGGCGGAAUUCGUGGUGUAGCGGUGAAAUGCUUAGAUAUCACGAAGAACUCCGAUUGCGAAGGCAGUUCACUGGACUGCAACUGACACUGAUGCUCGAAAGUGUGGGUAUCAAACAGGAUUAGAUACCCGAGUAGUC